GACGGGGCCGCACAAGCGGUGGAGCAUGUGGUUAAUUCGACGCAACGCGAAGAACCUUACCUGGGCUUGACAUCCCGAUCGCACCUUAUGGAAACAUAGGGGUCAGUUCGGCUGGAUCGGUGACAGGUGCUGCAUGGCUGUCGUCAGCUCGUGUCGUGAGAUGUUGGGUUAAGUCCCGCAACGAGCGCAACCCUUGUCCUUAGUUGCCAGCAUUCAGUUGGGCACUCUAAGGAGACUGCCGGUGUCAAACCGGAGGAAGGUGGGGAUGACGUCAAGUCCUCAUGGCCCUUAUGUCCAGGGCUACACACGUGCUACAAUGGCCGGUACAAAGGGGCGCAAGACCGCGAGGUGGAGCAAAUCCCAAAAAACCGGUCUCAGUUCGGAUUGGAGUCUGCAACUCGACUCCAUGAAGUUGGAAUCGCUAGUAAUCGCGUAUCAGCAUGACGCGGUCGAAUACGUUCCCGGGCCUU
This 470-nucleotide ribosomal RNA is filed under the name uncultured Desulfuromonas sp. Its description in RNAcentral is "bacterial SSU rRNA". It matches the Rfam family "Bacterial small subunit ribosomal RNA", at positions 917 to 1381 of the family's 1533-position model. The record is from RNAcentral. Lineage: Bacteria; Pseudomonadati; Thermodesulfobacteriota; Desulfuromonadia; Desulfuromonadales; Desulfuromonadaceae.